AAGCAACACUCUGUGGCAGAUGAUCGAAGCUGUCUGACACAAUUUGAGCUUGCGAUAGCAAGAAAGUCUAACCUAUUCCGGUGUUCUCUCUCCAUGAGAUGAGCCGUUAUAUAGACUUAAACAAC
Small nucleolar RNA from Cynocephalus volans (Philippine flying lemur), 125 nucleotides. RefSeq annotates it as small nucleolar RNA SNORA28. The transcript has a single exon. The record is from RefSeq and is a predicted model, not a curated record. Lineage: Eukaryota; Metazoa; Chordata; Mammalia; Dermoptera; Cynocephalidae.